ACAAGUACACUUGUCCGCGUACUCUAGUACGUGGCCACAUUAAGUGGCCCCAAUUAAUUCAUUUUCGUUUCAAUCUUCACCUUUCCUACUUCUUCAGCUUGACUGCAAAUCUCCAAGCAUCAAACCUGGGCCUGAACAGACUUAGCUUCAAGAUUGAGCAUCAGGUUGCCACCAUCACUAUGUGGUAGCUUCUCAAAACGUUGAAGGCCUAAAGGAUAUUACGGAGUAGCACAAACAAGCAAGAGAGUCACUGCCCAAAUUGAACAGAUCAGGAGCAAAAAGGAAAGAGUUCCUGUUUUUGUUUCGCACAUGAUUUGAUUCUGCCUAAUAAUUCCAGGAUUCCACCCUUCUUGGAAAAAGUCCCAUUGUCUUUUCCUUUCCAAAUUAAACUUGCACUUCAAUAUUACAAGAUUCUAUAACAUCUGCUAUUUUUUUCAGCAUUUUUUGGCAUUUAAAUCAGCUACUUAAAAAGUUAAUAGUCCUUGCUUACACUUAACAGAAUUCAACAAACAAUUUUAACGUAUCUAUGGCCUAUACUGAAGAAAUUACCUCUGCACCAUAUACCAAAACGGCCCACAUAGCCAAUGGUUGCCUUAUGGUUUUCUUCGGGUUCGUGGUUUUUUUAUGCGUGCUCAAAUGCUGCUGCUCUAAACGGGAAGAAUUUUCAUCAGAUUUACAAAGGCAAAGCACAGAAAAGCGACCUGAACAGCCAUCAACUACACCAGCUGAUCAACAAGAUCAUAGUAUGGUUGUGAUCAUGCCUGGGGACCGAACUCCGACCUGCUUAGCAAUGCCUGUCAUGUCUUCACCUCAGCACACUGAUGAAGUGUGACUAAUUUUUAGAUCUUACUUUAUCGGUCCCCAGCCAGAAUAAAGGAGGAGGACUGUAGUAGGUUGAUAUGUAGUGCAAAACUAGUCAAAUUAUCAUGAGUCCUGACUAUACAGAAUAGAGAGGGACAUGUAUAGUGAGGAUUCAUAUAUAUAUAUAUAUAUAUAUAUAUAUGUCCGACUCUAACUAGCUUGGGAUUGAGAUAUUGUUGUUGUCAUUAUUAUAUUGUUCUUGUUCCACUCAAGAAGACUAAGCUAGGCUUUUCUAA
Molecule: long non-coding RNA, 1097 nt
Organism: Nicotiana attenuata
Lineage: Eukaryota; Viridiplantae; Streptophyta; Magnoliopsida; Solanales; Solanaceae
Exons: 2
Source: RefSeq, a predicted model, not a curated record